CAGUCGCCACGGGAAUACAGAGGAUGCAAGCGUUAUCCGGAAUUAUUGGGCGUAAAGCGCGCGCAGGCGGAUCAGUCAGUCUGUCUCAAAAGUUCGGGGCUUAACCCCGUGAUGGGAUGGAAACUGCUGAUCUAGAGUAUCGGAGAGGAAAGUGGAAUUCCUAGUGUAGCGGUGAAAUGCGUAGAUAUUCGGAAGAACACCAGUGGCGAAGGCGGCUCACUGGCUCAUUCUAGACGCUGAGGUGCGAAAGCGUGGGGAGCAAACAGGAUUAGAUACCCCCGUAGUCCCUGUCUCUUAUACA
Molecule: ribosomal RNA, 301 nt
Filed under: uncultured bacterium
Lineage: Bacteria
Description: partial 16S ribosomal RNA
Rfam family: Bacterial small subunit ribosomal RNA
Source: RNAcentral